RNAcentral lists this ribosomal RNA (729 nucleotides) under Achromobacter sp. 110518_136_C_F8. Its description in RNAcentral is "bacterial SSU rRNA". It matches the Rfam family "Bacterial small subunit ribosomal RNA", at positions 24 to 748 of the family's 1533-position model. Lineage: Bacteria; Pseudomonadati; Pseudomonadota; Betaproteobacteria; Burkholderiales; Alcaligenaceae. The record is from RNAcentral.
UCAGAUUGAACGCUAGCGGGAUGCCUUACACAUGCAAGUCGAACGGCAGCACGGACUUCGGUCUGGUGGCGAGUGGCGAACGGGUGAGUAAUGUAUCGGAACGUGCCUAGUAGCGGGGGAUAACUACGCGAAAGCGUAGCUAAUACCGCAUACGCCCUACGGGGGAAAGCAGGGGAUCGUAAGACCUUGCACUAUUAGAGCGGCCGAUAUCGGAUUAGCUAGUUGGUGGGGUAAUGGCUCACCAAGGCGACGAUCCGUAGCUGGUUUGAGAGGACGACCAGCCACACUGGGACUGAGACACGGCCCAGACUCCUACGGGAGGCAGCAGUGGGGAAUUUUGGACAAUGGGGGAAACCCUGAUCCAGCCAUCCCGCGUGUGCGAUGAAGGCCUUCGGGUUGUAAAGCACUUUUGGCAGGAAAGAAACGCCGCGGGUUAAUACCCUGCGGAACUGACGGUACCUGCAGAAUAAGCACCGGCUAACUACGUGCCAGCAGCCGCGGUAAUACGUAGGGUGCAAGCGUUAAUCGGAAUUACUGGGCGUAAAGCGUGCGCAGGCGGUUCGGAAAGAAAGAUGUGAAAUCCCAGAGCUUAACUUUGGAACUGCAUUUUUAACUACCGAGCUAGAGUGUGUCAGAGGGAGGUGGAAUUCCGCGUGUAGCAGUGAAAUGCGUAGAUAUGCGGAGGAACACCGAUGGCGAAGGCAGCCUCCUGGGAUAACACUGACGCUC